RNAcentral lists this ribosomal RNA (920 nucleotides) under uncultured organism. RNAcentral describes it as "bacterial SSU rRNA". It matches the Rfam family "Bacterial small subunit ribosomal RNA", at positions 96 to 1012 of the family's 1533-position model. The record is from RNAcentral.
CGGCGCACGGGUGAGUACGCGUAUGCAACCUACCUUUGGCACGGGGACAGCCCGGGGAAACCCGGAUUAAUACCCGGUAUAGUCUAUUAUACAUCUGUAUAAAAGACGAGAGCUACGGCGGCCAAAGAUGGGCAUGCGUGCCAUUAGUUAGUUGGUAGGGUAACGGCCUACCAAGGCAUCGAUGGCUACGGGGUCUAAAAGGAUGAGCCCGCACACUGGUACUGAGACACGGACCAGACUCCUACGGGAGGCAGCAGUGAGGAAUAUUGGUCAAUGGGUGGAAGCCUGAACCAGCCAUGCCGCGUGCAGGAAGACGGCCUUAUGGGUUGUAAACUGCUUUUCUACGGGACGAACGGCUCUGACGUGUCAGAGAUUGACGGUACCGUAGGAAUAAGCAUCGGCUAACUCCGUGCCAGCAGCCGCGGUAAUACGGAGGAUGCGAGCGUUAUCCGGAUUUAUUAGGUUUAAAGGGUGCGUAGGCUGGGCAAUAAGUCAGUGGUGAAAGUCCGCGGCUCAACCGUGGGAUUGCCAUUGAAACUGUUGUUCUUGAGUACAGUCGAGGUAGGCGGAAUGUGUAAUGUAGCGGUGAAAUGCAUAGAUAUUACCCAGAACACCGAUUGCGUAGGCAGCUUACCAGCCUGGAACUGACGCUGAUGCACGAAAGCGUGGGGAGCGAACAGGAUUAGAUACCCUGGUAGUCCACGCCGUAAACGAUGAUCACUCGCUGUUGGCAAUAUAGAGUCAGCGGCUGAGCGAAAGCAUUAAGUGAUCCACCUGGGGAGUACGUCAGGCAACGAUGAAACUCAAAGGAAUUGACGGGGGCACCGCACAAGCAGGUGGAACAUGUGGUUUAAUUCGAUGAUACGCGAGGAACACUUACACUGGGCUUAAAUGUAGCCGGACGAUUCCGGAAACGGGAU